This 768-nucleotide ribosomal RNA is filed under the name uncultured Facklamia sp. RNAcentral's name for it is "bacterial SSU rRNA". It matches the Rfam family "Bacterial small subunit ribosomal RNA", at positions 28 to 776 of the family's 1533-position model. Lineage: Bacteria; Bacillati; Bacillota; Bacilli; Lactobacillales; Aerococcaceae. The record is from RNAcentral.
GAUGAACGCUGGCGGCGUGCUAAUACAUGCAAGUCGAACGCGCCGAGAAGGGAACUUGUUCCUUUCAACGCGAGUGGUGAACGGGUGAGUAACACGUGGGAAACCUACCCUUCAGCGGGGGAUAACCAUCGGAAACGAUGACUAAUACCGCAUAGUUGUUCUAGUCGCAUGACUGGAAUGGGAAAGACGGCUUCGGCUGUCACUGAAGGAUGGUCCCGCGGUGCAUUAGCUAGACGGUGGGGUAACGGCCUACCGUGGCUUUGAUGCAUAGCCGACCUGAGAGGGUGAUCGGCCACAUUGGGACUGAGACACGGCCCAAACUCCUACGGGAGGCAGCAGUAGGGAAUCCUCCGCAAUGGACGCAAGUCUGACGGAGCAACGCCGCGUGUGUGAAGAAGGUCUUCGGAUCGUAAAGCACUGUUAUCAGAGAAGAAUAGCCUGUAGAGUAACUGUUAUAGGUUUGACGGUAACUGAUCAGAAAGCCACGGCUAACUACGUGCCAGCAGCCGCGGUAAUACGUAGGUGGCAAGCGUUAUCCGGAUUUAUUGGGCGUAAAGGGAGCGCAGGCGGUUGAUUAAGUCUGAUGUGAAAGCCCACGGCUCAACCGUGGAGUUGCAUUGGAAACUGGUCAACUUGAGUACAGAAGAGGAAAGCGGAAUUCCAUGUGUAGCGGUGAAAUGCGUAGAUAUAUGGAGGAACACCAGUGGCGAAGGCGGCUUUCUGGUCUGAAACUGACGCUGAGGCUCGAAAGCGUGGGGAGCAAACAGG